RNAcentral lists this ribosomal RNA (495 nucleotides) under uncultured bacterium. RNAcentral describes it as "partial 16S ribosomal RNA". It matches the Rfam family "Bacterial small subunit ribosomal RNA", at positions 28 to 507 of the family's 1533-position model. The record is from RNAcentral.
GACGAACGCUGGCGGCGUGCCUAAUACAUGCAAGUAGAACGCUGAAGGAGGAGUUUGCUUGGCUGGAUGAGUUGCGAACGGGUGAGUAACGCGUAGGUAACCUGCCUGGUAGUUUGGGAUAACUAUUGGAAACGAUAGCUAAUACUGCAUAAUAGCAGUUGUUGCAUUGCAAGUUGUUGAAAGGUGCAAUUGUACCACUACCAGAUGGACCUGCGUGGUAUUCGCUAGUUGGUGUGGUAACGGCUCACCAAGGCGACGAGACAUAGCCGACCUGAGAGGGGGGUCGGCCACACUGGGCCUGAGACACGGCCCAGACUCCUCCGAGAGGCAGCAGUAGCGGCUCUUCGGCAAUGGACGGAAGUCUGACCGAGCAACGCCGCGUGAGUGAAGAAGGUGUUCGGAUCGUACAGCUCUGUUGUCAGAGACGCACGAGUGUGAGAGUGGAAAGUUCACACUGUGACGGUAUCUUACAAGAAAGGGACGGCUAACUACGUG